RNAcentral lists this ribosomal RNA (425 nucleotides) under uncultured bacterium. Its description in RNAcentral is "partial 16S ribosomal RNA". It matches the Rfam family "Bacterial small subunit ribosomal RNA", at positions 354 to 796 of the family's 1533-position model. The record is from RNAcentral.
GUUAGGAAUAUUGGACAAUGGGCGCAAGCCUGAUCCAGCCAUGCCGCGUGAGUGAUGAAGGCCUUCGGGUUGUAAAGCUCUUUAGCCGAUGAUUAUAAUGACUGUAGUCGGAAAAUAAGCCCCGGCUAACUUCGUGCCAGCAGCCGCGGUAAUACGAAGGGGGCGAGCGUUAUUCGGAAUCACUGGGCGUAAAGCGUGCGUAGGCGGCUUUGCAAGUUGGGAGUGAAAGCCCAGGGCUCAACCCUGGAAUUGCUCUCAAAACUGCAAGGCUCGAAUUCGCGAGAGGAUAGCGGAAUUGUCAGUGUAGCAGUUAAAUGCGUAGAUAUUUACAGGAACACCAGUGGCGUAAGCGGCUAUCUGGACCGAUAUUGACGCUGAGGCACGAAAGCGUGGGGAUCAAACAGGAUUAGAAACCCGUGUAGUCC